UUAAAUUGAAGAGUUUGAUCAUGGCUCAGAUUGAACGCUGGCGGCAGGCCUAACACAUGCAAGUCGGACGGUAGCACAGAGAGCUUGCUCUCGGGUGACGAGUGGCGGACGGGUGAGUAAUGUCUGGGAAACUGC
This 135-nucleotide ribosomal RNA is filed under the name Kosakonia radicincitans. RNAcentral describes it as "partial 16S rRNA. Bacterial SSU". It matches the Rfam family "Bacterial small subunit ribosomal RNA", at positions 1 to 129 of the family's 1533-position model. Lineage: Bacteria; Pseudomonadati; Pseudomonadota; Gammaproteobacteria; Enterobacterales; Enterobacteriaceae. The record is from RNAcentral.